CCGCUCUGCUGUUGGGACUAAUUUGGAUGGGAAUGGUGAUUUGAUGGUUGAUUAUGAUUACCUGGUUCUUGCUCUUGGAGUUACUGUGAAUACAUUCAACACUCCUGGUGUGAUGGAGCAUUGCCACUUUCUGAAGGUAGUGGAGGAUGCCCAAAAGAUUCGGAAGAGCGUGAUAGACUGCUUUGAAAAGGCGUCACUUCCUAACCUCAGUGAAGAGGAGAAAAGGAAGAUCCUUCACUUUGUGAUUAUCGGUGGUGGACCUACUGGGGUUGAAUUUGCUGUGGAGUUGCAUGAUUUUCUUGUCGAAGAUCUGGUGAAGCUAUAUCCUGCAAUUGAAGAAAACUCUCAACUCCUACUUGCGCUCCGCCUCUUCCUCCUUUUCAUCGCUCAAUAGGAGGCAGCUCAUCUGGCCGUGCAGCAGACCACGUCCUGAGCGGGUCGGUGACGGCGGUUGCAGCUGGUGCACGAUGGCGAUUCCAACGACAACAGGAAUCUGCAACUUGUUAGACUUCUUUGCAACCCCAACAAGGCCCUCAUCUGCUUUGUCUACAUAUAUGCAUGAUUUCUAUGAUUGGAAUCAGAUAGCACUAACUAUGUGUCAGACUGCUAAUAUUUAUUUGCUUGAUGAUCCUUGAAGCGCACUCUACGCUCAUACAUGAUCCCACAUAUUCUAGAUGCUUUCUUGAGGCUUUGGCUAAAAAUCUGUGGUGUACGUCACUCAUCAGGUAACUCUGACGGGCUAAUGCCUUAAGCUGGGACAUACAACAAAAUACUUAUUUUAUGGGAGGAGUUUAUGGAACUGGGUAGUGCUCAUCAGGAUGCUCUUGCAGCAAUUGACACAAUCGAUGUGGCUAAUGGAGCCAGUGAGUAACCUUGCCACCCUUCAGUAUGGUUCCUAUCUUUAGACAGUCACAUCCACGUUCGUACUUUUAGAAUAGUUGUUGCAACGGGGAAGAGCAUUUCUGCAAUAGCAAGAUAUCAGGACCCAAUGGGCAUAGGCCGAACCAACCACCAUCACUAUUGCUUCAGGAUUAGAUAGCCAACUUCCACUCAUGAGCCUGUCGAGUCAAGUUUCAGACUGAUCAUGUAUCCCCUUGAUAUUCACUGGAUGGAAUCCCCUGUUUUACUCAAACUGAACCUUCUACAAACAUCGGAAAAGCAACAGUAGUAAAGAUGGACAGAAAUUCCAAAAAUAAGGUGUUUUUUAUGGAUGUAGCUGGUUGCGAUGAAGCUAAACAAGAAAUAAUGCUAUCACUUAUUACCUUUGUCCUUCAAAUUUGAGUAUAGUCCUGCGAAAUAAUGAAUAUUUGUGUCUCAUUGCUCCAGCAUGGUCAAUAAAGAUAUGUUGACCCAGGAAAUAGGUUGGAUGGAGCAUCGAGGAUUUCAGGCUUGGGGUGGCCACGUGUUGCAGGAUAGCAGGAAGAGUUGGAUGUGUUCUGCAGAGACCAGGUGAUCAAUGUCGUUGCCGCCAGGAAAUGAAGUUUCUU
Triticum aestivum (bread wheat) is the source of this 1487-nucleotide long non-coding RNA. RefSeq lists it as uncharacterized. The record is from RefSeq and is a predicted model, not a curated record. Lineage: Eukaryota; Viridiplantae; Streptophyta; Magnoliopsida; Poales; Poaceae. The transcript is spliced from 9 exons.